RNAcentral lists this ribosomal RNA (440 nucleotides) under uncultured bacterium. RNAcentral describes it as "bacterial SSU rRNA". It matches the Rfam family "Bacterial small subunit ribosomal RNA", at positions 339 to 796 of the family's 1533-position model. The record is from RNAcentral.
CUACGGGAGGCAGCAGUGGGGAAUCUUGGACAAUGGGGGCAACCCUGAUCCAGCGACGCCGCGUGAGUGAUGAAGGCCCUAGGGUUGUAAAGCUCUUUCACCGGAGAAGAUAAUGACGGUAUCCGGAGAAGAAGCCCCGGCUAACUUCGUGCCAGCAGCCGCGGUAAUACGAAGGGGGCUAGCGUUGUUCGGAAUUACUGGGCGUAAAGCGCACGUAGGCGGAUAUUUAAGUCAGGGGUGAAAUCCCGGGGCUCAACCCCGGAACUGCCUUUGAUACUGGGUAUCUGGAGUAUGGAAGAGGUGAGUGGAAUUCCGAGUGUAGAGGUGAAAUUCGUAGAUAUUCGGAGGAACACCAGUGGCGAAGGCGGCUCACUGGUCCAUUACUGACGCUGAGGUGCGAAAGCGUGGGGAGCAAACAGGAUUAGAAACCCCUGUAGUCC